RNAcentral lists this ribosomal RNA (676 nucleotides) under uncultured bacterium. RNAcentral's name for it is "bacterial SSU rRNA". It matches the Rfam family "Bacterial small subunit ribosomal RNA", at positions 99 to 793 of the family's 1533-position model. The record is from RNAcentral.
CGGACGGGUGAGUAACGCGUGGAUAACCUGCCUCACACAGGGGGAUAACAGUUAGAAAUGACUGCUAAUACCGCAUAAGCGCACAGUCUCGCAUGGGACAGUGUGAAAAACUGAGGUGGUGUGAGAUGGAUCCGCGUCUGAUUAGGCAGUUGGCGGGGUAACGGCCCACCAAACCAACGAUCAGUAGCCGGCCUGAGAGGGUGAACGGCCACAUUGGGACUGAGACACGGCCCAAACUCCUACGGGAGGCAGCAGUGGGGAAUAUUGCACAAUGGGGGAAACCCUGAUGCAGCGACGCCGCGUGAAGGAAGAAGUAUUUCGGUAUGUAAACUUCUAUCAGCAGGGAAGAAAGUGACGGUACCUGACUAAGAAGCCCCGGCUAACUACGUGCCAGCAGCCGCGGUAAUACGUAGGGGGCAAGCGUUAUCCGGAUUUACUGGGUGUAAAGGGAGCGUAGGCGGCGAUGCAAGUCAGAAGUGAAAGCCCGGGGCUCAACUCCGGGACUGCUUUUGAAACUGUAUGGCUAGAUUGCAGGAGAGGCAAGUGGAAUUCCUAGUGUAGCGGUGAAAUGCGUAGAUAUUAGGAGGAACACCAGUGGCGAAGGCGGCUUGCUGGACUGUAAAUGACGCUGAGGCUCGAAAGCGUGGGGAGCAAACAGGAUUAGAUACCCUGGUAG